This 507-nucleotide ribosomal RNA is filed under the name uncultured bacterium. RNAcentral describes it as "bacterial SSU rRNA". It matches the Rfam family "Bacterial small subunit ribosomal RNA", at positions 994 to 1498 of the family's 1533-position model. The record is from RNAcentral.
AAUCUCUUAGAAAUAAGAGAGUGCCUCAUUAGAGGAGCCUGGUGACAGGUGCUGCAUGGCUGUCGUCAGCUCGUGUCGUGAGAUGUUGGGUUAAGUCCCGCAACGAGCGCAACCCUUGCCUUUAGUUGCCAUCAUUAAGUUGGGCACUCUAGAGGGACUGCCGGUGUCAAACCGGAGGAAGGUGGGGAUGACGUCAAGUCCUCAUGGCCUUUAUGACCAGGGCUACACACGUACUACAAUGGCAUGUACAAAGGGCAGCCACUUCGCAAGAAGGAGCGAAUCCUAAAAACAUGUCUCAGUCCGGAUUGGAGUCUGCAACUCGACUCCAUGAAGUUGGAAUCGCUAGUAAUCGUAGAUCAGCAUGCUACGGUGAAUACGUUCCCGGGCCUUGUACACACCGCCCGUCACACCACGGGAGUUGGUUGUACCAGAAGUAGUUGAGCGAACCUUUAUGGACGCAGGCUACCAAGGUAUGGCUGGUAACUGGGGUGAAGUCGUAACAAGGUA